UAGGGAAUCUUCGGCAAUGGACGAAAGUCUGACCGAGCAACGCCGCGUGAGUGAAGAAGGUUUUCGGAUCGUAAAACUCUGUUGUUAGAGAAGAACAAGGACGUUAGUAACUGAACGUCCCCUGACGGUAUCUAACCAGAAAGCCACGGCUAACUACGUGCCAGCAGCCGCGGUAAUACGUAGGUGGCAAGCGUUGUCCGGAUUUAUUGGGCGUAAAGCGAGCGCAGGCGGUUUCUUAAGUCUGAUGUGAAAGCCCCCGGCUCAACCGGGGCGGGUCAGUGGAAACUGUCAGACUUGAGUGCAGAAGAGGAGGGUUGAAUUCCAUGGGUAGCGGUGAAAUGCGUAGAUAUAUGGAGGAACACCAGUGGCGAAGGCGGCUAUCUGGUCUGUAACUGACGCUGAGGUUCGAAAGCGUGGGGAGCAAACAGG
Molecule: ribosomal RNA, 429 nt
Filed under: Gemmatimonadota bacterium
Lineage: Bacteria; Pseudomonadati; Gemmatimonadota
Description: Gemmatimonadetes bacterium partial 16S ribosomal RNA
Rfam family: Bacterial small subunit ribosomal RNA
Source: RNAcentral